Molecule: ribosomal RNA, 526 nt
Filed under: uncultured bacterium
Lineage: Bacteria
Description: bacterial SSU rRNA
Rfam family: Bacterial small subunit ribosomal RNA
Source: RNAcentral
CCUACGGGAGGCAGCAGUGGGGAAUUUUGGACAAUGGGCGCAAGCCUGAUCCAGCCAUGCCGCGUGCGGGAAGAAGGCCUUCGGGUUGUAAACCGCUUUUGUCAGGGAAGAAAAGGUUCUGGUUAAUACCUGGGACUCAUGACGGUACCUGAAGAAUAAGCACCGGCUAACUACGUGCCAGCAGCCGCGGUAAUACGUAGGGUGCAAGCGUUAAUCGGAAUUACUGGGCGUAAAGCGUGCGCAGGCGGUUAUGCAAGACAGAGGUGAAAUCCCCGGGCUCAACCUGGGAACUGCCUUUGUGACUGCAUAGCUAGAGUGCGGCAGAGGGGGAUGGAAUUCCGCGUGUAGCAGUGAAAUGCGUAGAUAUGCGGAGGAACACCGAUGGCGAAGGCAAUCCCCUGGGCCUGCACUGACGCUCAUGCACGAACGACGGUGGGGAGGACGAACGAGGAGUUAGUAUACCCGUACGGUAGUACCGACCGACCCUAACCGACUAGUCACUGGUUGGUUGGGUAGGGUUUCGUUC